ACUGGCUUAGUAUAAGUUACAUUACGUUAGACUGUAAAUCUUUUAAUAGUUGAYACUAGCCAGAA
Molecule: transfer RNA, 65 nt
Filed under: Cichlidogyrus halli
Lineage: Eukaryota; Metazoa; Platyhelminthes; Monogenea; Dactylogyridea; Ancyrocephalidae
Description: tRNA-Tyr
Source: RNAcentral